Molecule: transfer RNA, 74 nt
Filed under: Triparma laevis
Lineage: Eukaryota; Bolidophyceae; Parmales; Triparmaceae
Description: tRNA-Asp
Rfam family: tRNA
About the family: Transfer RNA (tRNA) molecules are approximately 80 nucleotides in length. Their secondary structure includes four short double-helical elements and three loops (D, anti-codon, and T loops). Further hydrogen bonds mediate the characteristic L-shaped molecular structure. tRNAs have two regions of fundamental functional importance: the anti-codon, which is responsible for specific mRNA codon recognition, and the 3' end, to which the tRNAs corresponding amino acid is attached (by aminoacyl-tRNA synthetases). tRNAs cope with the degeneracy of the genetic code in two manners: having more than one tRNA (with a specific anti-codon) for a particular amino acid; and 'wobble' base-pairing, i.e. permitting non-standard base-pairing at the 3rd anti-codon position.
Source: RNAcentral
GAGAAUGUAGCUUAGUUGGCUAAAGCACCCGCCUGUCACGCGGGUUAUCGCGGGUUCAAGUCCCGUCUUUCUCG